This 472-nucleotide ribosomal RNA is filed under the name Anelpistina californica. RNAcentral describes it as "partial 16S ribosomal RNA". It matches the Rfam family "Bacterial large subunit ribosomal RNA", at positions 1819 to 2577 of the family's 2925-position model. The record is from RNAcentral. Lineage: Eukaryota; Metazoa; Arthropoda; Insecta; Zygentoma; Nicoletiidae.
GGUCCUGCGAAAGAAGGUGCGGGAUCUGGCCUGCCCAAUGAUUUAUUUAAUGGCCGCGGUAAUUUGACCGUGCAAAGGUAGCAUAAUCAUUAGUCCUUUAAUUGGGGUCUGGAAUGAAGGGUUGGACGAGGGAGGGUCUGUCUAGUGGGUAAUCUUAUUUUGAAUUUUACUUUUUAGUGAAAAGGCUGCGAUUUUCUUGGGGGACGAUAAGACCCUAUAGAUCUUUACAUCGGGGGCCAAUGGAAGAGUUGGUUUGGGGUGUUUUGUUGGGGUGACAGGAAGAUAUAAAUAACUCUUUUGUGAUAAGUAUUACUUAUCGGUAUGUUGUUGAUCCUGGCGUUUGGAUUAUUAGAUUAAGUUACCUUAGGGAUAACAGCGUAAUCUCUCUUGAGAGUUCUAAUUGACAGGGGGGUUUGCGACCUCGAUGUUGGAUUAAGAGAUCUUUGUGGUGUAGAAGCUACGAGGGAGGGUC